Molecule: ribosomal RNA, 915 nt
Filed under: Gymnoascus reessii
Lineage: Eukaryota; Fungi; Ascomycota; Eurotiomycetes; Onygenales; Gymnoascaceae
Description: LSU rRNA
Rfam family: Eukaryotic large subunit ribosomal RNA
Source: RNAcentral
GCAUAUCCAAUAAGCGGAGGAAAAGAAACCAACAGGGAUUGCCUCAGUAACGGCGAAGUGAAGCGGCAAGAGCUCAAAUUUGAAAUCUGGUCCUUUCAGGGCCCGAGUUGUAAUUUGCAGAGGAUGCUUUGGGUGCGGCCGCGGCGUAAGUGCCCUGGAACGGGCUGUCGCAGAGGGUGAGAAUCCCGUCUUGAGUCGCCGGUUCGCGCCCGUGUAAAGCUCCUUCGACGAGUCGAGUUGUUUGGGAAUGCAGCUCUAAAUGGGUGGUAAAUUUCAUCUAAAGCUAAAUAUUGGCUGGAGACCGAUAGCGCACAAGUAGAGUGAUCGAAAGGUUAAAAGCACCUUGAAAAGGGAGUUAAAUAGCACGUGAAAUUGUUGAAAGGGAAGCGCUUGCAACCAGACUCGGCCGCAGAGGCUCAACGGGCACGUGUGCCCGUGCACUCCUCUGUGGUCGGGCCAGCAUCAGUUCUGGCGACCGGUCAAAGGCCCCUGGAAUGUGUCGUCCUCCGGGACGUCUUAUAGCCAGGGGUGCAAUGCGGCCAGCCGGGACUGAGGAACGCGCUUCGGCACGGAUGCUGGCAUAAUGGUUGUAAGCGGCCCGUCUUGAAACACGGACCAAGGAGUCUAACAUCCACGCGAGUGUUCGGGUGUCAAACCCGUGCGCGCAGUGAAAGCGAACGGAGGUGGGAUCCCCGCAAGGGGCGCACCAUCGACCGAUCCUGAAGUCUUCGGAUGGAUUUGAGUAAGAGCGUGGCUGUUGGGACCCGAAAGAUGGUGAACUAUGCCUGAAUAGGGCGAAGCCAGAGGAACUCUGGUGGAGGCUCGCAGCGGUUCUGACGUGCAAAUCGAUCGUCAAAUUUGGGUAUAGGGGCGAAAGACUAAUCGAACCAUCUAGUAGCUUGGUUCCUGCCGAAG